This 744-nucleotide ribosomal RNA is filed under the name uncultured bacterium. RNAcentral's name for it is "bacterial SSU rRNA". It matches the Rfam family "Bacterial small subunit ribosomal RNA", at positions 8 to 796 of the family's 1533-position model. The record is from RNAcentral.
AGAGUUUGAUCCUGGCUCAGAACGAACGCUGGCGGCAGGCUUAACACAUGCAAGUCGAACGCUCGUAGCAAUACGGGAGUGGCAGACGGGUGAGUAACGCGUGGGAACAUACCCUCCGGUUCGGAAUAGCUCAGGGAAACUUGGAUUAAUACCGGAUACGGCUGAGAGGCGAAAGAUUUAUCGCCGGAGGAUUGGCCCGCGUUCGAUUAGCUAGUUAGUGAGGUAAUGGCUCACCAAGGCGAUGAUCGAUAGCUGGUCUGAGAGGAUGAUCAGCCACAUUGGGACUGAGACACGGCCCAAACUCCUACGGGAGGCAGCAGUGGGGAAUAUUGGACAAUGGGCGCAAGCCUGAUCCAGCCAUGCCGCGUGAGUGAUGACGGCCUUAGGGUUGUAAAGCUCUUUCGCUCGGGACGAUAAUGACGGUACCGAGAUAAGAAGCCCCGGCUAACUUCGUGCCAGCAGCCGCGGUAAUACGAAGGGGGCUAGCGUUGUUCGGAAUUACUGGGCGUAAAGCGCGUGUAGGCGGGUCUUUAAGUCAGGGGUGAAAUGCCAAGGCUCAACCUUGGAACUGCCUUUGAUACUGGAGACCUUGAGUCCGGGAGAGGUGAGUGGAAUUGCGAGUGUAGAGGUGAAAUUCGUAGAUAUUCGCAAGAACACCAGUGGCGAAGGCGGCUCACUGGCCCGGAACUGACGCUGAGACGCGAAAGCGUGGGGAGCAAACAGGAUUAGAUACCCUAGUAGUCC